CGUGUAGGCGGUGCGGUAAGUUGGGCGUGAAAUCCCCGGGCUUAACCCGGGGGGGCCGUUCAAGACUGCCGCGCUAGGGUGCGGGAGAGGGCAGUGGAAUUCCCGGUGUAGCGGUGAAAUGCGUAGAUAUCGGAAGGAACACCUGCGGCGAAGGCGGCUGCCUGGACCGUAACCGACGCUGAGGCGCGAAAGCUAGGGGAGCAAACAGGAUUAGAUACCCUGGUAGUCCUAGCCCUAAACGUUGAACACUGGGUGUAGCCCCUCACGGGGCUGUGCCGAAGCUAACGCAUUAAGUGUUCCGCCUGGGGAGUACGGUCGCAAGGCUGAA
RNAcentral lists this ribosomal RNA (328 nucleotides) under uncultured bacterium. RNAcentral describes it as "bacterial SSU rRNA". It matches the Rfam family "Bacterial small subunit ribosomal RNA", at positions 568 to 898 of the family's 1533-position model. The record is from RNAcentral.